Molecule: long non-coding RNA, 910 nt
Organism: Nothobranchius furzeri (turquoise killifish)
Lineage: Eukaryota; Metazoa; Chordata; Actinopteri; Cyprinodontiformes; Nothobranchiidae
Source: RefSeq, a predicted model, not a curated record
UUGCUUGGUCUUAGGAUGAUUAAUUAGAAGGUUCUAGGAUUCUUUUAAUUAUUAAGGGAUCGUUCACACUUCGUUUAUGAUUCAAGAACCAGUCAGUGUUUGCAAACAAAUAAGAAUUUAUUUUACAAACAAUUAAGACUUGACAAAUGGUUUAAACUAUUAUUCUGUGAGUGGAUGGAACUAAAAGAUGGGUGUCUGAAAACUGUGUGUGAAUAUGAGAUGAUGGAUCAGAAUCUCCGUAUUGUCAGAGAGGUGCGUUCUCAAUUUUAACCUUACUCUUGUCUGUGUUGUGUGACGGGGUGAGUACUCCCUCUUCUCCACAACAUCUUUGUAAGACUGUCAUUCCAGGAGAGGGCAUUCACCAGCUGCGGGGCAUUACCGAUCAGCGGCAGCUGCAGAUCCUCUAAUCAACCGCAGCAGAGCUCUAUUUAAGAGGAGAGGGAACCACUUCACAUCGCUGGAUGAUUAACUACUCACGGAUACUUGGAAUCGCUGAACCACAGAUGGAUGUACCUACCUGGAAGUCACCAUAACCCGCCUGGAUUACACACUCAAGGUUCACCUCUCCUCCUUCUUCACUUGCCCUCUGCCGCCAUCAUCUGGCUCCCUCUCCUGGACGCACCCGUCACACCGUCUGCCCUCCCUGCUGGCUUUUGGACUCUUGCCGACUACUUCACACUUGGAAAUCUCCAGGACACUUUUAGUUAGGGUUAAUAAAUCAUUGUUUGAACUUUCUGCCUUUGUCCUGUGAUGGUUCUUCAUGUCCUGGGUUAAACACCUUCCCAGGAACAUGACAGUCUGGUGUGUGAGCAAAUGGUGAUGACCUCAUCUAGUAAACAUACUAAACCAUCAUUCAAUACAGAUUCCUGGACAUUAAAUUGCUCAUAAUAAUAAAAGUUCAUAAUGACUA